Sinocyclocheilus anshuiensis is the source of this 1058-nucleotide long non-coding RNA. RefSeq lists it as uncharacterized. NCBI's taxonomy places the organism in Eukaryota, Metazoa, Chordata, Actinopteri, Cypriniformes, Cyprinidae. The transcript has 4 exons. The record is from RefSeq and is a predicted model, not a curated record.
GCUGUGUCAUCUGGCCAGACUGCUGGUUUAGUCAAGUGAGAAGAGGAAAACAGGAAGUCAUCGUGAACUUUAAACUGCUUGUUGCUAAUAUACUACUAAGUAACUUGGGUUUGGUGUUCCAGGGCUUCAGGUAGAAAAAUGGAGAAGUUUUCUGUUUCUGUGAAUGUUGCAGCAAACAGCAGUGUCAAAUUUAUUCUCACCCAUGAGGAACUUCUUCAGCGACAUUUUGGCAAAUAUGAGCUCAUGAUCAGAGUCAAACCCAAACAGCUGGUCCAGCACUUUGAGAUUGUAGCAGAUAUUUAUGAACCUCAGGGAAUUGCAUUUUUGGAGGCAUUCGGUACAUUCAUCACCAAUGAACUGCUCUCUCUAGUGAAGAAAACUGUCACUGACAAGAAGGUGACGAUUCAAAUAUCUUUGCAUGGAUGGAUACCAAUUUAUACCAGUAUAAAGCAUUAUCAGUAUACUAAAUAAUGCUAGUAACUAAGAAGGAUCUCCAUUAGUCAAUAAUAAUGGUGAUAAUGAUAAUAAUUUGAUCCUUUGUUCAGGCCUUCCCCAGUCAUAUCAUUAGGAUGAUAAAGACACGCAUGAAAUAACGUAAAAUGGACAAAUGAAAAGAAUACUUUUCUGUGGCCUGCUGCUUAACACACAUGCUCUGAUAUGUUAACGUUUGAAUUUGUUCAUCCAUUCUACCUUCUAUUUCCUUUACUCUUUGUGCUUUUCCAAUAAAUAAAAAUAAACUAUAAAGCUAUAAAUAAUAUAUGUACCAUCUACAGAUUGUGAACGGACACUUUGCGCAUUGCGCAUUUCGUAUUUUUAACCAGCUUUGUUGAAUGGCGGCCACAUUUAAGCAAAGCAACACAGGAAAAUGUGAAAGCAGCCCAGGAAUAUGUCAAAACAAUUAAAGUGAUUGGUAAUACUGAAUUGCUGAUGCUGUCAUACAUGGUGGGAAGAUGCUGUAUGAAGAGCAGCGUAACGGUACAGCCCCAAAGAACAUGGUACUGAUGAUCAUUUUGCUGACUGAUGGGGAACCAAACAGGUAUCCGAGAACUCUUCCUGAG